RNAcentral lists this long non-coding RNA (450 nucleotides) under Gallus gallus (chicken). Lineage: Eukaryota; Metazoa; Chordata; Aves; Galliformes; Phasianidae. The record is from RNAcentral.
UACCUCUGUCUCCAGAAAUGGUUUAGCACCAAGAAAAAGUUACAUUCCACUGUUUUUGGAGUCCAGUGAAUUGGAAAGCAGGUUAUUCAAAUGCUACUUGUAGUGUUCCUUGAGCUUAAUGGAGUUGGAGAAGAGAACAUGAGCUGGCUCUAGCUGUGGAGGAGAGCAGACUGGGACAGGGACACGAGCUGGUAAGAGCACUGUGCAGAAGCUUCUGCAGAGGAAGCCAUUUCUGCUGCGGUUGAGCCCUCGCCUGGAGCUCAGCAAACCUGCAGGGGUUUCAUGUGGUACCUGUUCUGGGGCACCACCUGCUGGUGCCUCCUCAUCUGUCUGCUGAAUAUGGGGAAAGUUAACCUUGACGUCCUGUCUGCCUCCAUGACUACUCAGAAGUCCUGGUCCCCAGUUCAUCAGACUAACAGCUGAAGACAAGUUACUGGUACCGUAGCAGGG